AACAUUGGACAAUGGGGGCAACCCUGAUCCAGCCAUGCCGCGUGUGUGAAGUAGGUCUUCGGAUAGUAAAGCACUUUAAGUUGGGAGGAAGGGCCAUAGGUUAAUACCCUGAAGUUUUGACGCUACCAACAGAAUAAGCAUCGGCUAACUCUGUCCCAGCAGCCGCGGUAAUACAGAGGGUGCCAGCGUUAAUCGGAAUUACUGGGCGUAAAGCGCGCGUAGGUGGUUCAGUAAGAUGGGUGUGAAAUCCCCGGGCUUAACCUGGGAACUGCUUUCAUAACUGCUGAGCUAAAGUACGGUAGAGGGUAGUGGAAUUUCCUGUGUAGCGGUGAAAUGCGUAGAUAUAGGAAGGAACACCAGUGGCGAAGGCGACUACCUGGACUGAUACUGACACUGAGGUGCGAAAGCGUGGGGAGCAAAC
Molecule: ribosomal RNA, 421 nt
Filed under: uncultured bacterium
Lineage: Bacteria
Description: partial 16S ribosomal RNA
Rfam family: Bacterial small subunit ribosomal RNA
Source: RNAcentral